GACGAACGCUGGCGGCGUGCCUAAUACAUGCAAGUAGAACGCUGAAGGAGGAGCUUGCUCUUCUGGAUGAUUUGCGCACGGGUGAGUAACGCGUAGGUAACCUGCCUGUUAGCGGGGGAUAACUAUUGGAAACGAUAGCUAAUACCGCAUAAGAGUAGAUGUUGCAUGACAUUUACUUAAAAGGUGCAAUUGCAUCACUACCAGAUGGACCUGCGUUGUAUUAGCGAGUUGUUGGGGUAACGGCUUAACAAGGCGACGAUACAUAGCCGACCUGCGAGGGUGGUCGGCCACACUGGGAAUGAGACACGGCCCAGACUCCCACGGGAGGCAGCAGUAGGGAAUCUUCGGCAAUGGACGGAAGUCUGACCGGGCAACGCCGCGUGAGUGAAGAAGGUUUUCGGAUCGUAAAGCUCUGUUGUAAGAGAAGAACGAGUGUGAGAGUGGAAAGUUCACACUGUGACGGUAUCUUACCAGAAAGGGACGGCUAACUACGUG
Molecule: ribosomal RNA, 495 nt
Filed under: uncultured bacterium
Lineage: Bacteria
Description: partial 16S ribosomal RNA
Rfam family: Bacterial small subunit ribosomal RNA
Source: RNAcentral